This is a non-coding RNA of Ictidomys tridecemlineatus (thirteen-lined ground squirrel), 72 nucleotides long. The record is from Rfam. Lineage: Eukaryota; Metazoa; Chordata; Mammalia; Rodentia; Sciuridae.
UGGGGUGCGGCUCAGUGGCAGAGCACCUGCUUAGUGUGCAGGAGGCCCUGGGUUCCAUCCCCCGCCCUGCAA